UACGGAGGGAGCUAGCGUUAUUCGGAAUUACUGGGCGUAAAGCGUACGUAGGCGGCUUUGCAAGUUAGAGGUGAAAGCCUGGAGCUCAACUCCAGAACUGCCUUUAAAACUGCAUCGCUUGAAUCCAGGAGAGGUGAGUGGAAUUCCGAGUGUAGAGGUGAAAUUCGUAGAUAUUCGGAAGAACACCAGUGGCGAAGGCGGCUCACUGGACUGGUAUUGACGCUGAGGCACGAAAGCGUGGGGAUCAAACAGG
This 253-nucleotide ribosomal RNA is filed under the name uncultured bacterium. RNAcentral's name for it is "partial 16S ribosomal RNA". It matches the Rfam family "Bacterial small subunit ribosomal RNA", at positions 524 to 776 of the family's 1533-position model. The record is from RNAcentral.